Molecule: ribosomal RNA, 253 nt
Filed under: uncultured bacterium
Lineage: Bacteria
Description: partial 16S ribosomal RNA
Rfam family: Bacterial small subunit ribosomal RNA
Source: RNAcentral
GACGUAGGAGGCGAGCGUUGUCCGGAAUUACUGGGCGUAAAGGGCGCGUAGGCGGUCUAUUAAGUUGGAUGUGAAAACUCUGGGCUUAACCCAGAGCCUGCAUUCAAAACUGAUAGGCUGGAGUUCUGGAGGGGAUAGCGGAAUUCCUGGUGUAGCGGUGAAAUGCGCAGAUAUCAGGAAGAACACCAAUGGCGAAAGCAGCUUUCUGGGACGGUACUGACGCUGAGACGCGAAAGCGUGGGGAGCGAACAGG